UACGGAGGGUGCGAGCGUUGUCCGGAAUCACUGGGCGUAAAGGGCGCGUAGGUGGCCUGUGGAAGUCUGCGGUGAAAGCCCGGCGCUCAACGCCGGGUCGGCCGUGGAUACUCUCGGGCUCGAGCUUACUAGAGGCAGAUGGAAUUCCGGGUGUAGCGGUGGAAUGCGUAGAGAUCCGGAAGAACACCGGUGGCGAAGGCGGUCUGCUGGGGUAAUGCUGACACUGAUGCGCGACGGCGUGGGGAGCAAACAGG
Molecule: ribosomal RNA, 254 nt
Filed under: uncultured bacterium
Lineage: Bacteria
Description: partial 16S ribosomal RNA
Rfam family: Bacterial small subunit ribosomal RNA
Source: RNAcentral